AACUAAAAAAACUAAAGAAAGACUAUAGGGACCAAAAAAAGGACCUCGAUCGAAGCGGCAAUGGGCGCCCACGGCAAAAUCCACAUUUCAACGUUCUCGACUGUGUUCUCGGCGAUAGGCCGGCAUGCCAGGUGACCGGGGCGCUGAACUCGGCCACAAUAAUGCUCGAGUCAAUGCUGGAUGAUUCGCCGCGGCAAAGUUGCACUGAUCAUGAACUGUCUGCCAUCAACGACGACAACGUUGAGUUGCCGCCACCGCUGGGAUGCAGCUCUCCCGUGCCGUCGUGUAGCAGCUCUGGAGAAGCAUCUUCAGAACGGGGAAAAAGGAAGAGAGAUGGUACCUCGGAAAUCCUUCAAUAUCUGGAAAGGGCAGAUGAGAGGUUCCUGCAGCACAGCAAGGCAAUGGAUGACGCCUUGUGUCAGGACAUGAGAGCGGACACACAAACCCUGCUUGGACUCAUGGGGCACAUGGUGGCCGUAUUGGAGGCACAAGUUAAAAAAUAAUUUUGGUUGCCGCUUUUCAUGUCAUUUUUUAAUUUCUUUUUACAAUUGUUGUUACCUACAGAACUUUAUUUUUUUAUAAGAUUUCUGUUAUUUUUUUUGGUUUAAAUAAACAUGUUUAGUAAUGCAAAUAUCUGGUCCAGUUUCUUAAACACUUAACAGGCAAAUAUUGCAUUAUGGUUUGUGUUUUUAAUGCAAUUUACUUUCAUAUAAAUGUGUACAUUAAACAGCCAAGUGAUGCGAUUAGCUGUAUAUACAAAUCUAUAUUAUUUUGACAUGAAAUAUGAUUAAAAUCCAAAUUACUUCAUGAUUGGAAGUUAAUAAAAACUUGGUUGGUUUUAAUCCCAGCCAGAAGUGUGAAAGGGUUGUUGAUUGAGGAUGAUUGAUAAAUGAUUCACAAAAUGCACGUUUUAGAGAUAACAUGGUUCAUUUAAUGGAUGAGAAUGUAAUACAAUUCAAAAGUGUAGAUUUCAAUAAACACAAACUGCAGUGUUACAAAAAUAUUGCAACAAAUAUAGCUUUGGUGUAUUUAAAGAAUCACUCGUUCCCUCUGUUAAAAUGCAUCAUUAAUGCAGCUCUGAUUUCAGCCCCUUCUGUGUUUGCCCGCUCAGGUAUUGUCUGAGCAGUAGGCUCUAUGUUUAGAGUCCUGUCUGGUUGCUCUUCACUGAAAUUAUCACCAUGUUCCUCACAAAUGUUAUGGAGGACACAGCAGGUCAGUGCCAUCCUCUUGCUCAGCUCCAGCUUGCAGUCGUCUUUUUUUAGGAGGCAAUCUCCCAAAAGACAUCUCCACAACCGAUCGUGCACUGCUCAGCCUGUAAUUGUAUGUGUGCUGUUCAGGGGUCAGUCUGCCAGUGUCGCAAAAGGGCUUCAUGAGCCAAUUCUGCAUGGGAUAUGCCGGAUCGCCGAUCAGGUAAUGUCCAACAUCACAGCCAGAGAUAGUCACUUUGUUUUGCCCUAGUAAUUCCCCGUCACUUAAGGCCUCCCACAAAUGUGACUGUCGUAGCACUCUGGCGUCAUGCACACUCCCUGGAUAGCCAACACAAACAUCCCAGAAUAGACCUUUGCCAUUCACUACUGCUUGCAGAACAAUAGAAUGCCAGCCUUUACGAUUGAAAUAGUCUCGUGGAUAGUCCUCUGGUGCAAUUACUGGAAUGUGGCUGCCAUCAAUUGCACCCACACACUGUGGAAUUCUCCAACGAUUAUCAAAGAAAGUGGCCAUUUCUAGCAACUUUUCAGCAUCAGGAAAUGUAAUGUGGAUGGGAAGGAGCAGUGUGAUGACUGUGUUGCAGAAUUCCUGAACACAAUUAAAUACAGUGCUGAGGCCUACUCCAAAAAGAUGGCUAAUUGUCCUGUAUUCAACACCCGUGGCCAGUUUCCACAUGGCAAUAGCCACACGCUUUCGGAUUGGGACACACAAACUGUAGUUUGCGUUUCUUCUCCCCAUGGCAUGUUUGACCUGGCAGCAGAUGUAUUCAAAUGAUCCUGCGGAUACGCGUAAAUUCUGCAUGAAUUGUAACGGUGAAAUCCGGAACAAUUGUGUCCCACCAGUGGUCAGAUCGUGGGUAUGCCCACAUUACCGGUGACCUCCGCCUUGAGCUGCAAGAUUGCCUGUAAAGAUAAAAAAAUACAUACGUUUCAUCUAUGGGAAAUAGGAUAUAGGUAUAUUUUCUAUCAAGUGUACAGUGCUGUAUAAAUACUAUAGAAAUAGUUGAGCUGUAGCUGUGAAGCGUUUAUUAAUUCAAAGUACCACUUAAAAGACAAGGCUACAAGGUUUUUUUCAGUCUUUUUAGGUUCAUGCAUUGUGUUUUUCAGACAACUUACUGGUCACAUGUUUGCAGAUUUUCUAGUUUUAAUACUGUGAGUGGUUUUCGCCUGUAACUCAGACAUACAUACAAGUGUUCACAAAAAUGGCGUCGUUAUACUUAUUCAAGCAAUGCUUAAUACAUUUUUUUUAAUUGCAAUGCGAUCGAUUAUCAGCAAAGUCGAUGUUAGGAGGUUAGCAACAUGCUAAGGCUAAAUAUGAAUCUCAGGCUAAAGUCGGCAUCUUAUUGUUAAAAAUAAAUGUUGUACAUACCGUUACUCUCGCUUGUAAUCUCCGUCUGUACGAAUAAAGGCGAGCCGCGCGAACAUGUUUGAUCCGCCGUGUUUGGAUGUCGAUCCGCAAAGCCAUGAACAUCAAUAGCAAAGCAACGUCCGCCAUUGUUGAAGAUGUGUUUGUGUUUGCCGCCGCCGCGCUAACGUUGCUGGGAAAGAUGAGACGUGACUGUGACGUAGGGCUCUGCGCUGGCUCCUUAGCCUGUGGAAAAGCAAACCGGUUCUUUGGAGGCUCGUCAGUUGAACCAACUCCGAACCGGCUCUAGCUCCGAACCAGCACCUGGUUCUUGUUGGUGGAAAAGGGGUAUAGGACUACGAGACUGCUGGCCAGCUGGGAGCGAGUUAGUGUGUUGGGGAUGGAUGAUGAUGGAGGGCCAGGGGGUGACCUCUGCACAAAAAUAAUACAAGGUAUAACAGGAAAGAAGAACAUUAUCAAGGAGAGAUAAAUUGGCGGAUAGUGGGGCGGUACGGGCACGCUGCUUUCCCUUUCAGUAACAGAAAAGCGGCUGGGAAAAAAAAGACACAAAAUAUGGUGAUCCAAAUGUAGUUGUAUUUUACUUCACUGGUCAGAACCCGUCCAACUGGAAUCUGCCACCUACUGCUGUGUCUCUAUACAGUAGGAAGUCAAACCGUACGCUUCAUAAUGGUGUAAUGUUAUGCAUAGUCUGCCACUUCACACACACACACGACCACUGACACAUGGAGAUUAAGGUUUAAAUGUCAUAUUACUCAGCAGAGUAAUGGUGGACCAGCUACACUGGAGGUGUCGGAUUUCAUCAGCGUCUGGUAUGUGUGUUUUACUGCAGUCUGCUUGCCUGCAUUAGAACCAGGUUUGGAGUUGCGCCCUCUGCUACACCCUGCUGACCUGGGCGGUGUGAAAAAGACCAUUCAGGUGCAGCUGUGAGUUAGUGUUUGUGUGUGCGCGCAUUAGCCAGUACAGAACGUGCUUACGUUCUAAUUCCAUUGGACGGUUGGUUGUUGCCUUCAAACCUUUGUUGCCUGCAGGUUUCAGUAGCAGUGUCCUUUAUCCUGAGAUUUGAAAUUACACCAAAGCCGACGGAACCAUUUUAUACCCUCACUGCGUCAAAUAUGGAAAAUCAUGAAAAGAGCACAAAAUGAUGUUUUUAAAUGUAAUAUCUAUAGUGGGUCUUAUGUCAAGUAUUACAAUUUCUCUAAGGAAGGCUUCACACCAGAACAAUAGCCGUCGGCAAAGUCGGUCUGGUAGUAAAAUUCAAAAUAAAAUGUUUAUUUCUAACAAAACCAAAUGAAGUCACAAAUUGAAUCACAUAAAAUUGUUACGAUGUGCAAACGGACCCAAAUGCAACACGCAGGACCACCAAGGUUUCUCUUGAUCCAACAGGACCAAAACAGCAACGGGAGACACAAGUCAAUUGUGAGUGGCUGAAAAAAGGAAACCAGUCCAAUGGGCCACGCGUCCGUGCGCUCCGAUCCGUAAUCACGCAGAAGGGUGAUUCUGCCGCUGCGUGACUAGGCGGCAGACAGGCAGGGCAGCUCGACUGUGACACCCGAGGCUCAUGAUGAUCAUCAUCCAAUGAGAAUAAAGAUCUCAACUCCUUCAGAGUAUGUAGAUGAAAACAAGCCCAAAGCAUCAGAUUGAUACGAAUGAACAGGAUCUAUGUAUCAGCUUAUGUAGCAUAUGUAGAUGA
This is a long non-coding RNA of Gasterosteus aculeatus aculeatus (three-spined stickleback), 4261 nucleotides long. RefSeq lists it as uncharacterized. Lineage: Eukaryota; Metazoa; Chordata; Actinopteri; Perciformes; Gasterosteidae. The record is from RefSeq and is a predicted model, not a curated record.